RNAcentral lists this ribosomal RNA (846 nucleotides) under Bifidobacterium adolescentis. RNAcentral describes it as "bacterial SSU rRNA". It matches the Rfam family "Bacterial small subunit ribosomal RNA", at positions 68 to 921 of the family's 1533-position model. Lineage: Bacteria; Bacillati; Actinomycetota; Actinomycetes; Bifidobacteriales; Bifidobacteriaceae. The record is from RNAcentral.
GGAUCCCAGGAGCUUGCUCCUGGGUGAGAGUGGCGAACGGGUGAGUAAUGCGUGACCGACCUGCCCCAUACACCGGAAUAGCUCCUGGAAACGGGUGGUAAUGCCGGAUGCUCCAGUUGGAUGCAUGGCCUUCUGGGAAAGCUUCAUCGGUAUGGGAUGGGGUCGCGUCCUAUCAGCUUGAUGGCGGGGUAACGGCCCACCAUGGCUUCGACGGGUAGCCGGCCUGAGAGGGCGACCGGCCACAUUGGGACUGAGAUACGGCCCAGACUCCUACGGGAGGCAGCAGUGGGGAAUAUUGCACAAUGGGCGCAAGCCUGAUGCAGCGACGCCGCGUGCGGGAUGACGGCCUUCGGGUUGUAAACCGCUUUUGACUGGGAGCAAGCCCUUCGGGGUGAGUGUACCUUUCGAAUAAGCACCGGCUAACUACGUGCCAGCAGCCGCGGUAAUACGUAGGGUGCAAGCGUUAUCCGGAAUUAUUGGGCGUAAAGGGCUCGUAGGCGGUUCGUCGCGUCCGGUGUGAAAGUCCAUCGCUUAACGGUGGAUCCGCGCCGGGUACGGGCGGGCUUGAGUGCGGUAGGGGAGACUGGAAUUCCCGGUGUAACGGUGGAAUGUGUAGAUAUCGGGAAGAACACCAAUGGCGAAGGCAGGUCUCUGGGCCGUCACUGACGCUGAGGAGCGAAAGCGUGGGGAGCGAACAGGAUUAGAUACCCUGGUAGUCCACGCCGUAAACGGUGGAUGCUGGAUGUGGGGACCAUUCCACGGUCUCCGUGUCGGAGCCAACGCGUUAAGCAUCCCGCCUGGGGAGUACGGCCGCAAGGCUAAAACUCAAAGAAAUUGACGGGGGCC